UACGGAGGAUGCGAGCGUUAUCCGGAUUUAUUGGGUUUAAAGGGUGCGUAGGCGGGCUUUUAAGUCAGAGGUAAAAAUUCGGGGCUCAACCCCGUCCGGCCGUUGAAACUGGGGGCCUUGAGUGGGCGAGAAGAAGGCGGAAUGCGUGGUGUAGCGGUGAAAUGCAUAGAUAUCACGCAGAACCCCGAUUGCGAAGGCAGCCUUCCGGCGCCCUACUGACGCUGAGGCACGAAAGUGCGGGGAUCGAACAGG
Molecule: ribosomal RNA, 252 nt
Filed under: uncultured bacterium
Lineage: Bacteria
Description: partial 16S ribosomal RNA
Rfam family: Bacterial small subunit ribosomal RNA
Source: RNAcentral